RNAcentral lists this ribosomal RNA (470 nucleotides) under uncultured Pelotomaculum sp. RNAcentral describes it as "bacterial SSU rRNA". It matches the Rfam family "Bacterial small subunit ribosomal RNA", at positions 916 to 1381 of the family's 1533-position model. Lineage: Bacteria; Bacillati; Bacillota; Clostridia; Eubacteriales; Desulfotomaculaceae. The record is from RNAcentral.
ACGGGGCCCGCACAAGCGGUGGAGCAUGUGGUUAAUUCGACGCAACGCGAAGAACCUUACCAGGGCUUGACAUCCCCUGACCGCGUAUGAAAGUACGUUUUCACCCUCGGGUGACAGGGAGACAGGUGGUGCAUGGUUGUCGUCAGCUCGUGUCGUGAGAUGUUGGGUUAAGUCCCGCAACGAGCGCAACCCCUACGUUUAGUUGCUAAUAGGUGAAGCUGAGCACUCUAGACGAACUGCCGUUGACAAAACGGAGGAAGGUGGGGAUGACGUCAAAUCAUCAUGCCCCUUAUGACCUGGGCUACACACGUGCUACAAUGGUUGGUACAACGAGUUGCGAGUCGGUGACGGCGAGCUAAUCUCUUAAAGCCAAUCUCAGUUCGGAUUGUAGGCUGCAACUCGCCUACAUGAAGUCGGAAUCGCUAGUAAUCGCGGAUCAGCACGCCGCGGUGAAUACGUUCCCGGGCCUU